AAGUCGUAACAAGGUUUCCGUAGGUGAACCUGCGGAAGGAUCAUUACAACGUAUCCACGUACAAACUCACGAACUGUUCCCUUUAGAGUAAACAACUUGUGGAUGAAGUUAAUGGCUGACAUGCUCUUGCUGAUGGAGUUCUGGAUUUUAAUCUGGAACUGAGAGCUCUCGGCCGCUGGCAAGAAAUUGCUGGGACUUCGUUUACUCUACUGCGGUUUUGCCGCCCAUCAGCGGUGUUGUAUUAACCCUUAUUAACCCCAUGUAAAUUUUGAACUGAACUUGUAACAGAGUUCUGCGGCUGUUCUUGUUGGCUUCGGUCACGGACGGCAUCAACGCAACUCAGUUAUUUCUUUACAAAACAAAGAACAACUCUUAACAACGGAUAUCUUGGUUCUCGUAUCGAAGAACGCAGC
This 413-nucleotide unclassified non-coding RNA is filed under the name fungal sp. Its description in RNAcentral is "partial internal transcribed spacer region". The stretch from base 1 to 46 matches the Rfam family "Eukaryotic small subunit ribosomal RNA", at positions 1786 to 1831 of the family's 1831-position model. Lineage: Eukaryota; Fungi. The record is from RNAcentral.